CAAAACUGAGCACUGCAUGAUGGCUUAAUUAAAAAGGAAAAGGCUGACCAUCAUAUUGGUCGAAGAGGAGGGAAUCCAAAGCCUUUUCUUACACUCUUGAACUUUCAUGAAGGAGCCUGAUGAGUUGUUUUCCUAUGAUGUUACAUGGACCACAUGGGAGGAAGGUAGAGACCGUACUGAAAUUGUCCGGCUAUGGUGCUCUGUGCUUCUUCUCAUCUCUGAGUCACCUGCGCGGGAGAUGACUUUCAACUUGAUCAUUUAAUCCUCUCCCUGAGGCUGCAGUUGCAGACAGCCUCACCAUUAACAUCCUAGACAUACUGUGGCUGCUCUACAUCGUGCACUGGAGGAGUUAUCUCCCAACUUAACAGCUGCUUCUUCUGCUUCCAGCUGGAGGGGCAGUGCAGCAGUGGAAAACACAGGAGAAAUUUGGGCUGGCUUGGCCAGAAUCCUGUCUGGGAUCCCCUGAGGAGAAGAUGUUGCCAUGGCAGCUUUGCUGUUCUUUCAACUGGUGCAAUAGCUGCUGUUGCUACAUUAAGCCAGCUCUGCUGGUCUGUGAAGGAGGUGACCUGCCACAGCUGUCGUGCUGUUCAUGCCUCUAGACCGUAACAGCCAGCUCCGGCACACAAUGGGCUGCAGCUUUCACUGAGGGACUCAAGCUGGCCCAGUAAGGUACAUCCUAGAAAUGAGAAAGUAAAUGUACUUUCAUUUUAGAUCUGAGCUCCACAGUGGCAUUUAUCCAUUCCUAGGUUUUUUGUGCCUAUGACAUACAAAGAUACUACCAAAAAACUCUGAUGAAGGGCUGAACAGUUGAGAUCUAGAGACUCGGAUCUUCAUCUAAUAAGAUGUUCUCAGUCGUUUAUUUGAAGAACCGGGUGAGGUUGUCCCCUUUGCAAACACAGCCAAAGUGCUAACACCCUUCUACCUCUUACAGAAGGUCUGCUGGCUGGAUCACACAGACGGGCCAGAGUAGAAGCUCUUUGUCUCUCAAAUCCACAUCUCACACUUCACUGGAGAAAACCCUAAGGCCACCAAUGACUCUGAGCAGCAAACAUUCGCCCGUCUAGCCUGCUGAAACUGUGCCAGAUGAAAUCAAUGAGAUCAUAAGCAUUUAAACAGUAAUUACUACUGCUCAACCAGCUAACAAUGUCCUUUAUCAUACACAGCCUCAGUCCUAUCCCUUCACUUCAGCUAUAAACAAAGCACAUCAAACCGGAGGUGGUAUAAAUUUAUGUGCAGGUUGUAGCCUCUGCUCCUCUUCUUCUCAAUGUAACAAUCAUUACUGAAUAAAGAAGGAAGAGGUAUAGUUUAUUGCAUACUGAUUUUGCAGUCCUCAGAAAGAUACAACCCAUCUUACAGAGUAGGACUGAAAAAUGAACACAUGAUUAAGAGCUCUGAGAUUUCUGUGUUAAGAAGAGACAUAGCGAUGUUGCUGUGAUUUAAUUCAUGCAUGCAUGCACUUCAACCCAGACUAAUUCCCUGGGGUUAAAAUGAAA
Molecule: long non-coding RNA, 1493 nt
Organism: Cuculus canorus (common cuckoo)
Lineage: Eukaryota; Metazoa; Chordata; Aves; Cuculiformes; Cuculidae
Exons: 3
Source: RefSeq, a predicted model, not a curated record